GUGCAGCAGGCGCGAAUACUUUACAAUGUGCGAGAGCACGAUAAGGGAACUCUGAGUGCCUCCUAAGGAGGCUGUUCAGGUGUCUAAAAGCACCUGAAGGAAGGGCUGGGUAAGACCGGUGCCAGCCGCCGCGGUAACACCGGCAGCCCAAGUGGUAGCCACGUUUAUUGGGUCUAAAGCGUCCGUAGCCGGCUGGGUAAGUUCCUUGGGAAAUUUGGCUGCUUAACAGUCAAGCUUUCAGGGAAUACUGCCCGGCUUGGGACCGGGAGAGGUCAGAGGUACUCCAGGGGUAGGGUGAAAUCCAUUAAUCCUUGGGGACCACCGGUAGCGAAGGCGUCUGACCAGACCGGGUCCGACGGUGAGGGACGAAGGCUAGGGGCGCGAACCGGAUUAGAUACCCCGGUAGU
RNAcentral lists this ribosomal RNA (407 nucleotides) under uncultured microorganism. RNAcentral's name for it is "bacterial SSU rRNA". It matches the Rfam family "Archaeal small subunit ribosomal RNA", at positions 330 to 745 of the family's 1478-position model. The record is from RNAcentral.